This 1606-nucleotide long non-coding RNA is filed under the name Malus domestica (apple). RNAcentral's name for it is "long non-coding RNA (MDOM_LNC014638)". Lineage: Eukaryota; Viridiplantae; Streptophyta; Magnoliopsida; Rosales; Rosaceae. The record is from RNAcentral.
AUUUCACAGCCGCUUAUUCUCACAGCAUAGCAGAAGCAAUUUUUUUUCAAAGCACAGCAAUACUAAACCAGCCCUUAAAGUGUUAAUUUUAGGACAGUCUCAUACAUCCGUUAGUUUGGCUUUUAAGUCUUCCGUUAACUAAUGAUGUGACGCCUAUGUGAACAAUGAUUGGGCGCCAUGUGUCAUUAAAAAAUUAUAAAAAUUAAAACAAUUAAUUUAAUUUAAUUUUAAAAAAAAAAAAAACCCAGAACACCUUCGUCUUCCACACCUGACACCCCUCCAUUUCCCUCCACCCCCUGCACGGCUCCCAGGGAAAGCCCUAAUUUGCGUGUAGAGAUGGUCAAUGUGAACAAGUUAGGGUAUUUCCAAGCGAUCACAGGCCUCGAAAACUCCAAUUUAUGCGUGGAGAUCCUCAACGCCCAUGGCUGGGACCUCGAGCUCGCGAUCUCCUCCUUCACUCUAAAAAGCAUUUCAAACUCAAAAACUUUUUCCCUCCUUUCUUCUCUGCCAAAAAUGGAGCCUUCAGUGUGAGCUUUUAAUUUGCAGAUCACAGUUCAAUCAAUCAACAGAGCUGCGGUUUAUACCUUUUAAUUUGCAGAUCUGUGAGUUUGGGGACUAUCCGAGUAUAUAUCGUCAGUCUCUUUGCGGAUUUCAAGUACCUAACACAUAAGAACAUCAGUGUGAGCUUCUACAAGGGUGAAUCAUAGGAAAAAAAAAUUAGCUUUCAGGGAUUUUUCUCAAGCUAAGAAACAUGUAUAUUGCACAGAGUGGGAGAUGAUUACCGUUGCAUGUGCGAAAUGGUAUUGAUCUGCAUGAAUGGAACUCCAAUAUUUGAGCAUAUCUUUGCUCAGGGAAUGACGGUGAUGACGGUCUAAGCUCAAAUCCGUGAUGGGUUAGAGACACGGGGAUGUGUAUGUUGUGUGGUUUUGGUUGCGAAUGGAUGCAACGUUUAGAAAGGAAGACAAAGUUGUUGUGAGAUGGAAGGUUUGCAAUGCUGGGCACUGGGCUUAAGAUUGGAGAAAUGAUAAUCCUUUCUAAUUUUCUAGAGGCUGAGAGAAAUUCAAGCACUAAGAGCCAUAUCUCAUUUGUCUGUGAAGGUUUGAAAAAAAAGUGAGAAAUGAGAGACAUCUCUCAUUUUCUAGAGAGAUAGGGGUUUCGGUUACUUACACAAAACAAAUAGAAAAAUUUAAGGUCGCAGGGAAACAAGGAAGGGCCAACCGCCCAGAGCUAGGGUUUUGAAGACUGAAGCUGCGGAGGAGAAACCUGUGGAGGAAAAUUUGGCACGGCAAAUGAGUACAAGGCAAACUCGGAGCUCCAGGAUCGAGGAAUUGGGGAAGAUCCCAAGUAGGAACCUCCACAGUCUCCGAUGUCAGUGGUAGGGACAACCUUCACUCCAUUCCUCAACUGUUGUACCAAUCUUGAUCGUUGUCAAACCUCAUCGCGGCACUCGGGUUUUUGGGAUAAGGGAAGGGGAUGGGUUUUUGAGUAAGGAGAAGAGGAAGGGUGUCGGUGGGUGAGGAGUGGAGGGGUGGAUGGGAUGGAGGGUGGAGCCAUUGAGGGGGUGGAAAGGUGUCGGGUGGGGAAGGCGAAGGUAUUCUAGUUUUUU